RNAcentral lists this ribosomal RNA (487 nucleotides) under uncultured microorganism. RNAcentral describes it as "bacterial SSU rRNA". It matches the Rfam family "Bacterial small subunit ribosomal RNA", at positions 9 to 490 of the family's 1533-position model. The record is from RNAcentral.
GAGUUUGAUCGUGGCUCAGAUUGAACGCUGGCGGCAGGCCUAACACAUGCAAGUCGAGCGGAUGAAGGGAGCUUGCUCCUGGAUUCAGCGGCGGACGGGUGAGUAGUGCCUAGGAAUCUGCCUGGUAGUGGGGGAUAACGUCCGGAAACGGGCGCUAAUACCGCAUACGUCCUGAGGGGAGAAAGUGGGGGAUCUUCGGACCUCACGCUAUCAGAUGAGCCUAGGUCGGAUUAGCUAGUUGGUGGGUAAAGGCCUACCAAGGCGACGAUCCGUAACUGGUCUGAGAGGAUGAUCAGUCACACUGGAACUGAGACACGGUCCAGACUCCUACGGGAGGCAGCAGUGGGGAAUAUUGGACAAUGGGCGAAAGCCUGAUCCAGCCAUGCCGCGUGUGUGAAGAAGGUCUUCGGAUUGUAAAGCACUUUAAGUUGGGAGGAAGGGCGAGUAAGUUAAAUACCUUGCUGUUUGACGUUACCAACAGAAUAAG